AGCGAACGCUGGCGGCAGGCCUAACACAUGCAAGUCGAACGAACCUUUCGGGGUUAGUGGCGGACGGGUGAGUCACACGUGGGAACGUGCCUUUAGGUUCGGAAUAACUCAGGGAAACUUGUGCUAAUACCGAAUGUGCCCUUCGGGGGAAAGAUUUAUCGCCUUUAGAGCGGCCCGCGUAGGAUUAGCUAGUUGGUUGAGGUAAUGGCUCACCAAGGCGACGAUCAGUAGCUGGUCUGAGAGGAUGAUCAGCCACAUUGGGACUGAGACACGGCCCAAAAUCCUGCGGGAGGCAGCAGUGGGGAAUCUAGCGCAAUGGGCGAAAGCAUGACGCAGCCAUGCCGCGUGAAUGAUGAAGGUCUUAAGAUAGAAAAAUUCUUUCACCGGGGACGAUAAUGACGGUACCCGGAGAAGAAGCCCCGGCUAACUUCGUG
Molecule: ribosomal RNA, 434 nt
Filed under: uncultured bacterium
Lineage: Bacteria
Description: partial 16S ribosomal RNA
Rfam family: Bacterial small subunit ribosomal RNA
Source: RNAcentral